Clupea harengus (Atlantic herring) is the source of this 305-nucleotide long non-coding RNA. Lineage: Eukaryota; Metazoa; Chordata; Actinopteri; Clupeiformes; Clupeidae. The record is from Ensembl.
GUCUGACUUUAGAAACAUAGGCAUGUGUGGGGUUGAGUUCUACAGAGGUGUGCGUCUGACUUUAGAAACAUAAGGCACGUGUGGCCUUGAGUUCUACAGAGGUGUGUGUCUGACUUGAGAAACAUAGGGCAUGUGUGGGGUUGAGUUAUACAGAGGUGUGUGUCUGACUUUAGAAACAUAAGGCAUGUUUGGGGUUCAGUUCUACAGAGGUGUGUGUCUGACUUUAGGAACAUAAGGCAUGUUUGGGGUUGAGUUAUACAGAGGUAUGCGUCUGACUUUAGAAACAUAAGGCAUGUUUGGGGUUG